Molecule: long non-coding RNA, 95 nt
Organism: Ipomoea nil (Japanese morning glory)
Lineage: Eukaryota; Viridiplantae; Streptophyta; Magnoliopsida; Solanales; Convolvulaceae
Exons: 3
Source: RefSeq, a predicted model, not a curated record
AUUAGAGAAAUCAAAAUGAGUAGGACUAAAUUGGUGAAAUCGACAUAGUCGAGGGAUCAUUUUGGUAAUUUGCUCAUUAAUUAAUUAGGUUAUGU